GUCGGCUGGGCAAACCCCAUCCGGAGCAAGGCCAAAUAGAGGGACAAAGGGACGCCCGGCCCGUUCCCUGGGUUGGCCGCUUGACCCUGAUGGUAACAUCAGGGCUAGAUAGAUGGUCACCGCUCCGCCUUCGGGCGGAGUACAGAACUCGGCUUACAGGUUUACUUGACCC
This 172-nucleotide RNase P RNA is filed under the name Dehalococcoidia bacterium. RNAcentral describes it as "partial RNase P RNA component class A". It matches the Rfam family "Bacterial RNase P class A", at positions 197 to 367 of the family's 367-position model. Rfam says of the family: Ribonuclease P (RNase P) is a ubiquitous endoribonuclease, found in archaea, bacteria and eukarya as well as chloroplasts and mitochondria. Its best characterised activity is the generation of mature 5'-ends of tRNAs by cleaving the 5'-leader elements of precursor-tRNAs. Lineage: Bacteria; Bacillati; Chloroflexota; Dehalococcoidia. The record is from RNAcentral.